This 2124-nucleotide ribosomal RNA is filed under the name Triticum aestivum (bread wheat). RNAcentral describes it as "partial small subunit ribosomal RNA". The record is from RNAcentral. Lineage: Eukaryota; Viridiplantae; Streptophyta; Magnoliopsida; Poales; Poaceae.
AUGACGAUCUCUUCCGCAUCUCGGACAUCAUCAUGGGCAUCUACUGCCUCUCUCUUACAGUUACCACUGUCCGGGAGGAGAGCUCCUUUCGCCUCACCUCCGUGUAUGGCCCAACUGAGAGCAAUCAAAAAGAGAUUUUUUUUCGAGGAGCUUGUGGCUCACAAGCCGGGGCAUGGAGGAAAGUGGCUUGUAAAUGGGGAUUUCAAUCAAAUUUACCGUGCAAGAGACAAGAACAAGAGGAACGUCAACCGCAAUCGUAUCAACCGGUUCCGCGCCACGCUUCAUGGUUGUGAUCUACGCGAGAUUCACCUUCAAAAUCGUCGUUUCACUUGGAGUAAUGAGCGGCAAAAUCCCACCAUGAGCAAACUUGACAGUGUGUUUUGCAACGCCGAAUGGGACAUUGAAUUCCAAAAUCACAUCUUGCAUGCCUUAUCUUCGUCCCUGUCUGACCAUUGCCCCAUGCUGUUGGCACCUAUAAUUGGCCCCAAAAAGCCUAGAAGCUUCAAGUUCGAGAACUUUUGGAUCAAGAUGCCGGGUUUUCAAGAGACUGUCUCUGAUGCUUGGGCUGCUUCGACCCCCCACUACGAGCCUUGUCAAAUCCUCUUCCAUAAGCUUCGGACAACCGCUGUCCGGUUGAGAAAAUGGAGUCAAUCCUUCUCCUCAAAUGCAAGGCUGCACCUUCACAUGGCACUUCAAAUUAUUCUCAGAUUGGACAUCGCUCAGGAGUCGCGCUCCCUCUCGCCGGAGGAGUUUGACCUUCGUAAGCGGCUUAAGAGGCGCGUCAUCAGUUUGGCGGUUCUUGAGAGGGCUAGGAAAAGGCAGUGUGCCCACAUCCGUAACUUGAAGGAGGGGGACGCCAACACCAAAUUUUUUCACUUGAAGAUUAAUGGGAGAAGGCGCAAGAAUUUCAUACACAAGUUGAGCAACGGGGCUGGUUGGGUUACGAAGCAUGAGGAUAAGGAGAAUAUUAUGUACCAGCACUUCACCACCGCUUUGAGCAAAGGGCCACGCAGAACCACAGACUUCAAUUGGCAACUCCUCCACUUUACAGAUUGUGAUCUUUCCAGUCUUGGGGAUGAGAUGACGGACGAGGAGGUGAUUGCAGCCAUCAAGGCUAUGCCUAGCGACAAGGCUCCCGGGCCUGACGGCUUUACUGGGGCAUUCUUCAAGAGCUGCUGGCCAAUUAUAAAGGACGAUCUUAUGAAGGUCAUCUCCGCCUUCUCGAGUUUGCAUGCGGACAACUUUCACUGGCUCAACUCCGCAAAUGUGGUUCUCUUGCCAAAGAAGGAGGGGGCUGAGGCGAUCACGGACUUUAGGCCUAUCAGUUUGAUCCAUGCCGUCGCCAAGAUUGUGGCCAAGGUGAUGGCGUUGAGGCUCACCCCUUUUAUGGAUAUCCUCGUAUCCCGUGCUCAGAGUGCAUUCAUCAAAUCUCAGUGCAUCCACGACAACUUCAUGUAUGUUCGCAACUAUGCUCGCCGACUCCAACGAACAAACACGCCAUCACUCUUGCUCAAGUUGGACAUCAAGAAGGCUUUUGAUUCAGUUAGAUGGGAAUAUCUUCUCGACCUGUUGCAGAGGAGAGGUUUUCCUUCGAGGUUUCGUGAGUGGAUCACGGCCCUUCUUCGGACGUCUACAUCGAGGGUUCUUCUCAACGGUGUUCCUGGCAAUCCUAUCCAGCAUGGGCAGGGCCUCCGGCAGGGGGACCCACUGUCUCCCCUUCUGUUUGUCCUUGCUAUUGACCCCCUUCAGCAAAUCUUGGACGUGGCAACAGAGAAUGGAGACCUACACAGAUUACGUGGACGUGGUGCCCGCCUUCGCACCUCCCUAUACGCGGACGACGAUGCCAUAUUCUUGGAGCCUAUCAAGGAGGAUGUGGAUAUGCUUGCCACCAUACUUCAAAGCUUUGGAAACGUCACCGGCCUAGUUACGAACAUUAACAAGAGUUUGGUGGCCCCUAUUAGAUGCUCCAAUGUCGACCUUGACAUGAUUUUGGGUGCCUUCCCAGCGGUCAGAGCUCAGUUCCCCUUGCGUUACCUCGGCCUUCCGCUAUCCAUUCAUCGUUUGCGGGUUGUGGACUUCCAGCAUUUGCUUGAUAAGAUUGCUGGAAAGAUCAUGAUUGGCCAG